RNAcentral lists this unclassified non-coding RNA (310 nucleotides) under Hevea brasiliensis (rubber tree). Lineage: Eukaryota; Viridiplantae; Streptophyta; Magnoliopsida; Malpighiales; Euphorbiaceae. The record is from RNAcentral.
GCCAAAUUUCCUGCACCAUGUAAUAGAUCAUGUGGUCAAGUAAAGUUUUGAUGAAUGCAUGUUUUGCAGCCUUUAACCCAGAAUAUUAUAAGAGAAAUAAAUUUAAUGAUCCACUCUUCAAUAAAUCAAAAUGACAAUAUAUAGCAGACUGCUAAGCCAACAGUUCAAAUGUUCAAUGGAAGGGAAAGAAGGCAUUGACCAAAUUACCGACCUUAAAGGCCUUCAACAGCAAUCAUCAAUUCAUUUCAUGAUAAUAGUAAGAUAUUACUAGUUGCUUUAUUGGCAACAAAAACAGGUACACUCAAUGAUA